RNAcentral lists this ribosomal RNA (429 nucleotides) under Gemmatimonadota bacterium. Its description in RNAcentral is "Gemmatimonadetes bacterium partial 16S ribosomal RNA". It matches the Rfam family "Bacterial small subunit ribosomal RNA", at positions 355 to 776 of the family's 1533-position model. Lineage: Bacteria; Pseudomonadati; Gemmatimonadota. The record is from RNAcentral.
UAGGGAAUCUUCGGCAAUGGACGAAAGUCUGACCGAGCAACGCCGCGUGAGUGAAGAAGGUUUUCGGAUCGUAAAACUCUGUUGUUAGAGAAGAACAAGGACGUUAGUAACUGAACGUCCCCUGACGGUAUCUAACCAGAAAGCCACGGCUAACUACGUGCCAGCAGCCGCGGUAAUACGAAGGUGGCAAGCGUUGUCCGGAUUUAUUGGGCGUAAAGCGAGCGCAGGCGGUUUCUUAAGUCUGAUGUGAAAGCCCCCGGCUCAACCGGGGAGGGUCAUUUGAAACUGGUAGACUUGAGUGCAGGAGAGGAGAGUGGAAUUCCAUGUGUAGCGGUGAAAUGCGUAGAUAUAUGGAGGAACACCAGUGGCGAAGGCGGCUCUCUGGUCUGUAACUGACGCUGAGGCUCGAAAGCGUGGGGAGCAAACAGG